AGAGUUUGAUCCUGGCUCAGAGCGAACGCUGGCGGCAGGCCUAACACAUGCAAGUCGAGCGCCCGUAGCAAUACGGGAGCGGCAGACGGGAGAGUAACACGUGGGAACGUACCCUUCAGUUCGGAAUAACCCAGGGGAAACUUGGACUAAUACCGAAUACGUCCGUAAGGAGAAAGAUUUAUCGCUGAAGGAUCGGCCCGCGUCUGAUUAGCUUGUUGGUGAGGUAACGGCUCACCAAGGCUACGAUCAGUAGCUGGUCUGAGAGGAUGAUCAGCCUCACUGGGACUGAGACACGGCCCAGACUCCUACGGGGGGCAGCAGUGGGGAAUAUUGGACAAUGGGCGCAAGCCUGAUCCAGCCAUGCCGGCGUGGAUGAUGAACGCCCUAGGGUUGUAAAGUCCUUUCGGGCNGGGAAGAUAAUGACNGUACCGCAGAAGANGCCCCGGCUAACUUCGUGGCCAGCNGCCGGCUGNAAUACGAAGGGGGCUAGCGUUGCUCGGAAUCACUGGGCGUAAAGCGCACGUACGCGGCUUUUUUANGUCNGGGGGUGNAAUCCUGGGAUCUCAAUCUCCAGAAANUGUUGNUUGAUUACUGGAGGAGGCUNCNACUNCNGNGNAGAGGGUGANUUGGNNACNUGCNCAGNGUUCNUAGGGNGAAANUUGCNGGAGAUAUUCNGC
This 677-nucleotide ribosomal RNA is filed under the name uncultured bacterium. RNAcentral's name for it is "partial 16S ribosomal RNA". It matches the Rfam family "Bacterial small subunit ribosomal RNA", at positions 8 to 725 of the family's 1533-position model. The record is from RNAcentral.